CGGAGCGCCAGGAGGGCGGAGUCCCGGCUGACUCUGGGUCGGGCCCUGCCCUCUGCGCUGUGGCUCCAGCCGGCACCGUGCAGCAGCCGCCGCUGGAGGUCGGGUCGGCUGCUGAGCCCCGCAGCGCUCGUGCGCAGAGGAGCUGGCGGCGGAUGGUGCGCGGCCCCCUGCAGCAGCAGCAGCCGCGCGCUCCGGGAGCAGCCGCGAGAGGGAAGAGGCUGCGAGGGACCCCCCCGCACGAGGAUAGCUGCAGUCAUUGUGGAGAGUGAGUUGAGUAUCGGAUGCUUGUGGUGAGCUAUGGCGGCUGAUGAUAAAGUUGCCAUUUUAACUGAUGAUGAAGAAGAGCAGAAGAGAAAGUAUGUGCUUGCUGAUCCUUUCAAUGGAAUUUCCAAGGAGCAAGAUCUCCAGCCCCAAAAUGAAACCCCUUCAACGGAGACCACCACUGUCCCAGAUGAGGAGCUAGACUGGUUAGAAAGGCACUGUGUCAAAAUAAACAAUGAUCUUCUGAUCUCCAAGGUCUUUUAUUUUUUCUUUUAUUCUGCAUAUGGCUCCCUUUACCCAUUGCUUCCUGUGUAUUAUAAGCAGCUGGGCAUGUCGCCCAGUCAGAGUGGACUUCUGGUGGGCAUUAGGUACUUUAUUGAGUUCUGCAGUGCUCCUUUCUGGGGAGUGGUGGCAGAUCGCUUUAAAAAAGGGAAAGUUGUUCUUCUCUUUUCGCUUUUAUGUUGGAUUUUAUUUAACCUGGGGAUUGGAUUUGUUAGACCAGCUACCUUAAGAUGUGUACCAAAGGUCCCUCCACCACCACAUCCUUCCAAUGCCAGCCACCUUUUAACAUCGCUGCCCCAAAAUGCCACGAUUUCUUCUCUACUAACUACAGCUAGUGCUACAUUACAGAAGGGUCGUGGGAAGCGGGGACUGUUAGCUAGCAGUCCCCCAACUUUGGAAUUGUUUCCAUUUUCUGCUCAGACCAGAAAUGGAGACCUUGCCUUGGAUAACAACAAUACAAAUUUUAUUUCAAAGAAUACCACCACUAACCCAGGACUGCCAGAAAAUAUGACCCACCCUACGCCACCACCUGUUGUCACCACGAAGCCAGUAUCUUUUGACCAUGUCAUGCUGGUUUAUGAUCAUCAAGAAGUAGAAGCUAUCUUUCUACUCAUUCUCUUGGUUGUCAUUAUAGGAGAGUUUUUCAGUGCCUCAUCUGUUACCAUUGUGGACACCGUGACUCUCCAAUAUCUUGGCAAACACAGGGACCGCUAUGGCUUGCAGCGAAUGUGGGGCUCUCUGGGCUGGGGACUGGCCAUGCUGUCGGUGGGAAUUGGUAUAGACUAUACCCGUAUAGAAGUGAUCAUCGAAGGUCUGGGGUGUAAAGCUCCUGAGUACAAGAAUUACAGGAUUGUUUUCAUAGUCUUUGGUGUACUGAUGUCAAUGGCACUUAUUGUGGCCACCCAGUUCAGAUUCCAUUAUAACCACUACAAAGAAGAUGAAAACAAGAGGAAGGAAGUAGAGAUCCCACAGGUGGAUGGAAAUGCCUCCACUGAAUCCUCUGAUGACACCCCCAGCAGCAUAAGCCAGUCUCAGUCAUUCAGUUUUUGGGACCUGAUAAAGCUCCUUUGCAGCAUACAGUAUGGGUCUGUGCUGUUCGUGGCUUGGUUUAUGGGGUUUGGGUAUGGGUUUGUGUUCACCUUUCUCUACUGGCACUUGGAAGACCUGAAUGGCACUACCACCCUCUUUGGAGUCUGUUCUGUCUUGAGCCACGUAUCUGAGCUGACUGCCUACUUCUUUAGCCACAAGUUGAUUGAACUGAUUGGUCACAUCAGAGUGCUCUAUAUUGGCCUUGCCUGUAAUACAGCUCGCUACAUUUAUAUCUCCUAUCUGGAAAAUGCCUGGACUGUUCUCCCUAUGGAAGUACUUCAAGGUGUAACCCAUGCAGCCAUAUGGGCAGCUUGUAUUUCAUAUCUUAGUGCUGCAGUGCCUCCAGAAUUAAGAACUUCAGCUCAGGGGAUUCUACAAGGUCUCCACUUAGGUCUGGGCAGAGGCUGUGGGGCUAUGAUCGGUGGGGUUUUGGUCAACUAUCUUGGGGCUGCAGCAACAUUCAGGGGGAUAGGCAUGGCCUGUUUAGUGAUCCUACUACUCUUUGCAUUAAUCCAGUGGCUAGCUGUUCCUGAUGAAAAAGAAGAGAAGACAAUGCUGGCAGAAAGGAUCCCAGUGCCUUCCAGCCCUGUUCCCAUAGCAACCAUCGACCUCAUACACCAGCAGUCAGAAGAUAUCAUGCCUCGAACUGAGCCCAGACUUCCUCCCAAGAAAACGAAGCAUCAAGAAGAACAGGAAGACGUGAACAAGCCUGCGUGGGGGAUCAGUUCUUCUCCCUGGGUUACUCUGGCUUACGCUGUCUAUCAAAUAAAGGAGAUGGUAGAGCUGUCUAAAAGCAAUCUGAUGCCUGAAAACCAGCCUUUGCAGAGAUUAGCCUGGAGGCGUGGGGGGAGUGCGAAUUGCCAAACAUCCAAAAUAUGGUGGAAAUGGGCACCCCAGCAAAUUAAUAAUGGAAUAUGAAGCCCUUCACCCCCUGGAGCUUGGCCUGGGCUUGUGGUGACUGAAAGUGACUACGACUUGAGAGCUGUUCUGUGGCCUGUGUGAAAUGAGUUGUUGUUUUCCAGUGUUCACAUUACAGAAUCCCCCAGCACCCUUAUUAGGAAUCUUGGCAGAGGGGCCAAGGAUUGGACGAACUCAGAGACUGGACUAUCAUCCGAUCUUUUGGGGUGCUCCCUCCAGAACGAGGUUGGAGCACAGUGGUGGUUGGUGAGGCAAUGUAGGGAAACUUGGGCUGCUGCGGUCAAUGCUGGUUUUUCAAACAGUGUGGGUAAUAAACUUCCUGUUUCUCCUGUCUGCCGCGGGGAGGAGUGGUGCAGCUUCCCCCUUACAUAUUUGCCAUACCAUAUGCACCCAAAUGUCAUUUCCACCAGUCCUACUUCUGGAAGGUGAUGAUUUUGGACAUGACUUUGCAGAUGUGGCAAAGCAGCAUUUGAAGAAAUCCCAACUUCACCAGCUGUCUCCCUCCUCCCCCAUUGGUCUAUAUUCUUGUAAAUAUCCCUACGCAUAUGUUCCCUUCUCAAUAUGCAUGCUGAGCUUCCAUUAGCUUUAAUGAGACUAACUUGCAUGCCUCAGGGAGAGUGAGCAACCAUAUUGAAAUGACUCUUAAAUGUCUGUUUAUACAAGACGAAUUUCAGACACACACAUCUCGGAAAAAUCAAGUGUCUCCUUUUGAAUGACCAUGAAAUCCUCAUUGACACAAUGCUGUCGUGUUACACUCUCAACCCAUGCCACUCUCCCAAGCAGUUUUCCAUCAAUCUUCUCUUAAGCAAUUAUCAGUAUAAGCCCAGCCCUGUUGUUGGCAUAAAUUGGAGAAUGGCAGUCACACACAAUCUGCCAUACCUCCCAGGGCAAGAAAGCUGGUUUAUAGUUCAUGGUAAGCUCUAGGAGAGAGAAUCAACAAAUGUUCAUAGUGUUGGAGAUAGUCUCAGUAAAUGACUUGGGCAAUUAUGAAGUGCUCUCAAGUCUUUUAUUGCCGCCGAUAACUCUCUGCCAUCUUCAGAAACAUGUUCUCUUAAUAACCUCUUUCCCCUUCUCAUAACUUCAUGCAGCCAUUCAUGGAGCCUUUUUAUUAAUACUAUUGAAUUUUGGGCAUUGCAUUAUCUAUUCCACACGUGACUGAUAGAAUUGAGAACCAUUCCUUAGUAGAUAGGAUUCUUAGUAUUUAUGGGAACAACGAAAAUUGGUUCCAUGGGAUAGUUUUAUUAAGGCCCCAAUCCUGCAGUUGGAUAUGCACUGGUAUAUCUUUGCAUCCAUGCAAUGCCCCUCUGUCUUUCAUUAAGGCCUGUGUUUUUAGGGUCAAACAUCAAAAACCCUAUUUCUGCUCAACCAAAUCCCAAAUUUUAAAGUUAGGCUAAAUAUGACUCUUAAUGUUUCCUCCCUCCCUGGCUGGUUGCACUUUUAUCAGGGCAGUCUGCUGUUCUGCAGCUGGCCAGUUUCAAGGAUCUGUCUUCCAGUUUGUGAAUAAAAUAUGAUCAAUGAGCAUUCAACCCUACCACAACAAGAAAGCAUAGCAUCUUUCCCCAUUGUAUUUGUAUGUAAAAAUUUGGUAUUUAAAAACUGUUUACCCAGAAUGAAGCAGUAUUCCACACCCUCCAUUUGAAGAUGCACACAUGAUGCAUCUCAGUUCCAUGAAGCUAGAGAUAUAUUUAAUCAUUUCAGCUCCUUGGAGAAAUUGCCUGCUUUUGCAGAACACACCCACAUUUUAAUUCUAAAAAUUAAAAAACGAACUCCCUAUGCAUUGCUGUUGCUUUUUUUCACCUUGUUCUUUUAGCCUGAAUUUAACAAAACACUAAACCAGAAAAGGCUGCCUAGCUAUCUUGUUAAACAUUUUAAAUAGCAUUCCUAAAAGAAUUCACAGGAAAGUUGGUCAUUUGGAGGAGAAACUUUAAGAGCAUAGAAAAGGGGAUUAACGACAGAAAAACUUUGGUGCCUCCUCAUUUCACAUUACUGCUUGCUUAUAGUAAUCCUUCAGGGAAAGGAGCAUGCUCACCAUUCUAAUUACUUGAUACAAAACAAAUCUUCCAAGAUAAAUCGUGAGGUUAGAAGAUGUUGUAGUACUAAUAUUGUACAAGACUUGUUUUGUCUUUGGCCCUCAGGGAAUGCAGCUAGCAUAUGUCUUUAAAAUAAGAUCACAUAAUCUGGGAAACAGCUUUUAAAAAUUUGCACUGAGCCUUUCAGAAAAUUGUUCUCAACUAUUUUCUUCUUGCUUGAACCAGAGAAUUGCCUGCUUGAAUCGCUGACCUAGCUAUUAUUACUAAGAAAAAGCCUAUUGCUAAGUAAAUUGGAUGAAAUUUAUGUGCUUUUACUGCAAAAGUGCUGCCACUCAAUGGGACUGAGAAAUAUCUUACUUAGAAAAAAUGUUAAGGAAAUAUAGGUGGAUUUGCAGAAGGGAGCAUGAAGUAUGUUUUAGUAAACAGUGCAGUCAUGAUGAUGAUUGUUGUCUGUAUACAGUAGAAUUCUAUUGAUAGUUUUUGUCUUAAAACAUAGCAAGUUUGUUUUUUGCAUGCUUCUUGUGGAGGUGCAGUUAGGAAAAGAAAUGGAAGAAACCCAGUGAGAAUCAGAGUGCUCCAGCAGCCAGUCCAACAGAACAGCCCCCAAAUCUGAGAAACACUGAUGAAUCCAGAGAUUGUUCAAUACCUGCAACGACACUCAACUCCCAAACUGACCCAGAGCC
Molecule: RNA transcript, 5263 nt
Organism: Chelonia mydas (Green sea turtle)
Lineage: Eukaryota; Metazoa; Chordata; Testudines; Cheloniidae
Gene: MFSD6
Gene name: major facilitator superfamily domain containing 6
Exons: 8
Source: RefSeq, a predicted model, not a curated record